GCUUAGCCCUGACAGGAGUGCAAAUCCUUUUGAAAAAAGAUUGCAACGGAUGGCAGGAAUAUGG
RNAcentral lists this small RNA (64 nucleotides) under Flavobacterium sp. 102. Its description in RNAcentral is "Flavo-1 RNA". It matches the Rfam family "Flavo-1 RNA". Lineage: Bacteria; Pseudomonadati; Bacteroidota; Flavobacteriia; Flavobacteriales; Flavobacteriaceae. The record is from RNAcentral.